CAGUGUUUACCAACUUGUCGUCAUAAACCACAUUUUUGUUACUUCAGUUCCAAUUUCAGAAAGAUAUAUAAAUGAUUCGAAAAGUUUUCUCGGUAUCAGAUUAACUUCUUCAAGCUCACACAUAGUACAUCUUGAAACAUACAAGUUUUAACAUGAACACCUUAGUAAUCAUUGCCGCCUUAUCGGUGUUGUGCUGUGUUUACGCGCAAUCAUACGGUAGCUUCGACAACGACAGAUUUGGUCGCUUUUCUGGUUCGGGACGCCAUUUUGAAUCAGGGCGCCGUUUUGGACCAGGACGCCAUUUCGAUUCAGAUAGUCAUUUUAGAUCAGGACGCGAAUUUGAUUCAGGUCGCCGUUUUGGAUCAGGACGCCAUUUUGAAUCAGGACACCGUUCUGGAUCUGGACAUUUUACACGAGGAGAUGGUUUAUUUAGAGGAAUUGGUGAUCGAGAUUAUAGACCAAGGGGUUCAAGCUAUAUUCCAAGAAGAUCAAUAAUUCGUGAUUCUUACUAGAUGUCUAAAGUUUCAGAUAAAAGAUGACCCCUAACUUAAAUCAAGUGAUGGUGCCAAAUUUAUUUGAAGUCUUUCAUUUCAUUAUUAUUUAUACAUUACAUUAUCACAUUCACAAAUAAACUUUAUGAUAAAGGUUA
Long non-coding RNA from Ruditapes philippinarum (Manila clam), 649 nucleotides. RefSeq lists it as uncharacterized. The transcript has 3 exons. The record is from RefSeq and is a predicted model, not a curated record. Lineage: Eukaryota; Metazoa; Mollusca; Bivalvia; Venerida; Veneridae.